UGCCCCAGUAACGGCGAGUGAAGCGGCAACAGCUCAAAUUUGAAAUCUGGCUCUCGGGCCCGAGUUGUAAUUUGUAGAGGAUGCUUUUGGUGAGGUGCCUUCCGAGUUCCCUGGAACGGGACGCCAUAGAGGGUGAGAGCCCCGUCUGGUUGGACACCGAUCCUCUGUAAAGCUCCUUCGACGAGUCGAGUAGUUUGGGAAUGCUGCUCUAAAUGGGAGGUAUAUGUCUUCUAAAGCUAAAUACCGGCCAGAGACCGAUAGCGCACAAGUAGAGUGAUCGAAAGAUGAAAAGAACUUUGAAAAGAGAGUUAAAAAGUACGUGAAAUUGUUGAAAGGGAAGCGCUUGUGACCAGACUUGGGCUUGGUUGAUCAUCCGGGGUUCUCCCCGGUGCACUCUUCCGGCUCAGGCCAGCAUCAGUUCGCCCUGGGGGAUAAAGGCUUCGGGAAUGUGGCUCUCUCCGGGGAGUGUUAUAGCCCGCUGCGUAAUACCCUGUGGCGGACUGAGGUUCGCGCAUUCGCAAGGAUGCUGGCGUAAUGGUCAUCAGUGACCCGUCUUGAAACACGGACCAAGGAGUCGUCUUCGUAUGCGAGUGUUCGGGUGUCAAACCCCUACGCGAAAUGAAAGUGAACGCAGGUGAGAGCUUCGGCGCAUCAUCGACCGAUCCUGAUGUUAUCGGAUGGAUUUGAGUAAGAGCAUACGGGGCCGGACCCGAAAGAAGGUGAACUAUGCCUGUGUAGGGUGAAGCCAGAGGAAACUCUGGUGGAGGCUCGCAGCGGUUCUGACGUGCAAAUCGAUCGUCAA
Molecule: ribosomal RNA, 802 nt
Filed under: Fusarium sp.
Lineage: Eukaryota; Fungi; Ascomycota; Sordariomycetes; Hypocreales; Nectriaceae
Description: LSU rRNA
Rfam family: Eukaryotic large subunit ribosomal RNA
Source: RNAcentral